Molecule: unclassified non-coding RNA, 342 nt
Filed under: fungal sp.
Lineage: Eukaryota; Fungi
Description: partial internal transcribed spacer region
Rfam family: Eukaryotic small subunit ribosomal RNA (bases 1-46)
Source: RNAcentral
AAGUCGUAACAAGGUUUCCGUAGGUGAACCUGCGGAAGGAUCAUUAACACUCCAAAAACUUCUCAUACUCCCUCUCACGGGGGGGUUAUGAAACCCUAUUCACACUUUCACGAACCCCGGCGGAAAUGAUACAGAUUUUGUCUUACUUCGGUGAGAGGCUGUUCAUUUCUUGCUACUACUUUUGUCCAUUUUCAUUUUUAACCCCAAUCAUUAUAACUUUUAUUUGUCUGACUGGAAGACGUCAAACCUCUUCCGUUGCUCUUGGCUCUAACCAGCUAAGGCAAUGAAAACUUUUAAACAAAAACAAAAAAACAACUCUUAGCAACGGAUAUCUUGGUUCUC